This 373-nucleotide ribosomal RNA is filed under the name uncultured bacterium. Its description in RNAcentral is "bacterial SSU rRNA". It matches the Rfam family "Bacterial small subunit ribosomal RNA", at positions 524 to 898 of the family's 1533-position model. The record is from RNAcentral.
UACAGAGAUGGCGAGCGUUACUCGGAUUUAUUGGGUGUAAAGGGCAGGUAGGCGGCUAUGCAAGUUGGGGGUGAAAUCCUUAGGCUCAACCUAAGAACUGCCUUCAAAACUGCAUAGCUUGAGGCUAGAAGAGGAGAGCGGAAUUCUCGGUGUAAGAGUGAAAUCUGUAGAUAUCGAGAGGAACACCAGUGGCGAAAGCGGCUCUCUGGUCUAGAUCUGACGCUAAGCUGCGAAAGCUAGGGGAGCAAACAGGAUCAGAUACCCUGGUAGUCCUAGCCGUAAACGAUGAGUACUAGGUGUUGGAGGUUUACUUUCAGCGCCGCAAGUUAACACGUUAAGUGCUCCACCUGGGGACUACGACCGCAAGGUUAAA